RNAcentral lists this ribosomal RNA (1332 nucleotides) under human gut metagenome. RNAcentral describes it as "bacterial LSU rRNA". It matches the Rfam family "Bacterial large subunit ribosomal RNA", at positions 1101 to 2442 of the family's 2925-position model. The record is from RNAcentral.
UUGGCUUAGAAGCAGCCACUCAUUAAAAGAGUGCGUAAUAGCUCACUGGUCGAGUAGUUGUGCGCCGAAGAUGUAACGGGGCUAAAACACGUCACCGAAGCUUUGGAAUUGCCGCAAGGCAAUUGGUAGAGGAGCAUUGUGUGCUGGGAGAAGCAGUACCGAGAGGAGCUGUGGACGGCACAGAAGAGAGAAUGCCGGUAUAAGUAGCGCGAGGCAUGCGAGAAACAUGCCCGUCGAUAGCCUAAGGUUUCCUGGGGAAGGCUCGUCCGCCCAGGGUAAGUCGGGACCUAAGCCGAGGACGGAAGUCGUAGGCGAUGGACAGCAGGCAGAGAUUCCUGCACUACCGAAGAUCGUUUGAGUGAAGCAGUGACACAGAAGGAUAGCCUGAGCAGGGUAAUGGUCAUCCCUGUACAAGCGGUGAGGCUGGUGAGUAGUGAAGUACGCUCGCUAAGGCUGGGCCGUGAUGUGGAGUGAAAUUAGAAGUAGCGAAGCAGGUGAUUUCACACUGGCGAGAAAAGCUGCUGGCGAGAUCGGAGGUACCCGUACCGCAAACCGACACAGGUAGGCAAGGAGAGAAUCCUAAGACGAACGGGAGAACACUUGUUAAGGAACUCGGCAAAAUGACCCCGUAACUUCGGGAGAAGGGGUGCUGCAGAGAUGCAGCCGCAGAGAAGAGUCCCAAGCGACUGUUUAGCAAAAACACAGGUAUCUGCGAAAGCGAGAGCUGACGUAUAGGUGCUGACACCUGCCCGGUGCUGGAAGGUUAAGGGGAACUGUUAGAGCAAUCGAAGCAGAGAACCGAAGCCCCAGUAAACGGCGGCCGUAACUAUAACGGUCCUAAGGUAGCGAAAUUCCUUGUCGGGUAAGUUCCGACCCGCACGAAUGGUGUAACGAUCUGGGCACUGUCUCAACUACCCACCCGGCGAAAUUGUAGUACCGGUGAAGAUGCCGGUUACCUGCGGCAAGACGGAAAGACCCCAUGGAGCUUUACUGUAGCCUGAUAUUGGGUUUCGGAAAUCUAUGUACAGGAUAGGCGGGAGACUUGGAAACAUGAGCGUCAGCUUGUGUGGAGUCGAUGUUGGGAUACCGCCCUUAGGUUUCUGGAAUUCUAACCUGCGGCCGUGAAUCCGGUCGGGGGACAUUGUCAGGUGGGCAGUUUGACUGGGGCGGUCGCCUCCGAAAAGGUAACGGAGGCGCUCAAAGGUUAGCUCAGCACGGACGGAAACCGUGCCUCUGAGUGUAAACGCAAAAGCUAGCCUAACUGCGAGGGUGACGGCCCGAGCAGUAACGAAAGUUGGAGUUAGUGAUCCGGCGGUAUGUGAAUGGAAAUGC